This is a long non-coding RNA of Ziziphus jujuba (common jujube), 686 nucleotides long. RefSeq lists it as uncharacterized. The transcript has 3 exons. The record is from RefSeq and is a predicted model, not a curated record. NCBI's taxonomy places the organism in Eukaryota, Viridiplantae, Streptophyta, Magnoliopsida, Rosales, Rhamnaceae.
GACGGUUUGAUAAUGAGAAGAUGUUCACCAACACUUGUGCCAUAUUAGACGUGUUAUUUUGGGUAAGAUGAUGGGAUGUUACUGCGUUGCUUAAUGUUAUAUUGAUGAUAUUUUAUAUUGUAUAUAUUUCAUUAUUUGGCAGUCAUCCAUCAAAGGGCGUUAUCCCAUAUGGAGGGCAUCUCGUAGCACAUAUUCAUGUGAUGCGACCCUUUGUAACUAUGUGCGUGGGAGGUCACCCAAACCUAGCGUGUCGUGGCGGAUAUGUGAUUAUGUGUACAUCCCUGUCAACAAUGGAGGCGCGCAUUGGUUGGCAGCAUGUGUGGACUUGAAGGCCCGGCAUAUUGAUUUAUACGAUCCAAAUAUGGGAAAUAAAUAUGUCCAGAAUAGAGAGUUGAAGAAUGCGGAAUGCCUUACGUAUAUGCUGCCUUACCUAUUGAGGGAUGGGGGAUAUUACGGGAAGAAUCCGAACGUGUCUCCCACUUUAGAUCCAUUCACGAUGACCAUGAUCAAAGAUGCACCCCGCCAAGAUAAUGGGGGUGAUUGUGGCGUCUACGCUCUGAAAUUUAUUGAGUACAUGAGUAGUGAGGAGAACCCUUCAUUUGGUCCGCAAGACAUUAUGUUUUUUAGAAAAAAAUAUGCUGUUGAUUUGUACUUUAAUAAACUUUCAAUGUAGAUCGUAUGUUUAA